Didymella keratinophila is the source of this 97-nucleotide non-coding RNA. The record is from the annotation of a GenBank genome assembly. NCBI's taxonomy places the organism in Eukaryota, Fungi, Ascomycota, Dothideomycetes, Pleosporales, Didymellaceae.
GAUUAGCGGAGUGGUUAACGCGUUGGCCUGCUAUAGAUCUCACGGUCUAAGUCAGCCAAUUCCUUCGGGAGCGUGUGUUCGAAUCACACAGGUGUCG